RNAcentral lists this ribosomal RNA (253 nucleotides) under uncultured bacterium. RNAcentral describes it as "partial 16S ribosomal RNA". It matches the Rfam family "Bacterial small subunit ribosomal RNA", at positions 524 to 776 of the family's 1533-position model. The record is from RNAcentral.
UACAGAGGAUGCAAGCGUUAUCCGGAAUGAUUGGGCGUAAAGCGUCUGUAGGUGGCUUUUUAAGUCCGCCGUCAAAUCCCAGGGCUCAACUCUGGACAGGCGGUGGAAACUACCAAGCUGGAGUACGGUAGGGGCAGAGGGAAUUUCCGAUGGAGCGGUGAAAUGCAUUGAGAUCAGAAAGAACACCAACGGCGAAAGCACUCUGCUGGGCCGACACUGACACUGAGAGAUGAAAGCUAGGGGAGCAAAUGGG